AUGCUCACUGUGGCAGCAUAUAUACUAAAAUUAGAACAAUACAGAGAAGAGUAGUGUGGUCCCCUGUACAAGGAUGACACACAAAUUUGUGAACAUUCCAUAUUUUUU
This 108-nucleotide small nuclear RNA is filed under the name Microcebus murinus (gray mouse lemur). The record is from RNAcentral. Lineage: Eukaryota; Metazoa; Chordata; Mammalia; Primates; Cheirogaleidae.